Molecule: transfer RNA, 76 nt
Filed under: Chloroflexi bacterium RBG_16_68_14
Lineage: Bacteria; Bacillati; Chloroflexota
Description: tRNA-Trp
Rfam family: tRNA
About the family: Transfer RNA (tRNA) molecules are approximately 80 nucleotides in length.
Source: RNAcentral
AGGAGUGUAGCUCAGUUGGAAGAGCAGCGGUCUCCAAAACCGCAGGUCGGGGGUUCGAGUCCCUCCACUCCUGCCA